Molecule: long non-coding RNA, 963 nt
Filed under: Bos indicus x Bos taurus (hybrid cattle)
Lineage: Eukaryota; Metazoa; Chordata; Mammalia; Artiodactyla; Bovidae
Description: lncRNA (ENSBIXG00000029292.1)
Source: RNAcentral
AUCAGAGGGGGCUGGAAGGAAUGGGGGAUGAGGCACCGGCAGGCUGGAGAGGGGAGACCAGAUAGGAGGAUUUCAAGUCUCUGGUUCUGCCUCUGAGGACCCCAGACCAUUCCAGGAAGAAGAUGCCAACACCCAGCCACCUUCUACCCAGCCAACUAGGGGCAAAGCCAGCAAAGAGAGCACCAGCACCGUUUUUGAGUGAGCCUUCUUUCUGUGGACAUAGCUCUGUCACUGCACUGACUGGUCCAGAAUGAAACUCACCCUCCAGCCGUUGGCAGGAACAUCCUCAGAGACCCAGCAAUUUCCAGGAAAGCCCUGAACAAGGGACCAGAGCCUGGAGAAGGGUGAUGUCUGGUAGCCCUGUUUACUUCUGAGCAGGGAUCCAGACCCCUAGAGAGGCCCAGCCCAAGCUUGGCACACAUGCACGGAAGCGGGUGCGCAUGGAUGAUUCAACAGGCAAGUGGGGGAGGGCUUUGGGAUCCCCUCUGCAAGUGCCCACACUCUGGUCCAGGCUGCUUGCUGCGGCCCAAGCAAAGCCCAGGGGAACAGGCAAAGAGCCAAUUGCAGAGCAGCGGUUGGCUGCUCUGCCAGACCCACCCCGCCUCCUGGGGAGCUGGUCAAGGAAACCAGUGGCAGAGGAGACGAUGGGACAGAGUGAUCUCAGAUGACCCUCACAGCCCUGCUACUCAGGGUCGCGUGAGGGUCCUUGAGCCUGGCCAUCCACGAGGCAGGCUGCCGGCCUCCACAGCUCUGGCUGAUCCAACCGGGAGGGCCAGAUACGAAGGAGGUGAUGGUAGCACGCUGAAAGGCCUCUCCAAAAAGCCAGCCCAAGCUCCGGGAAUACACAAAGGCCACGAGUCACGGUGUUUGUCCGGACCUGCACCAGGCGUUUCCUCAACGCGAGCCCACCUGAAGGAGUCCAGCCGACAGCUGAUCAGAAGCUGUGAGCUCCCCCGGGCCUGA